Molecule: RNA transcript, 4342 nt
Organism: Oncorhynchus kisutch (coho salmon)
Lineage: Eukaryota; Metazoa; Chordata; Actinopteri; Salmoniformes; Salmonidae
Gene: ftsj1
Gene name: FtsJ RNA 2'-O-methyltransferase 1
Exons: 19
Source: RefSeq, a predicted model, not a curated record
AAAAAAAGUAGCUAAUUUGACCAUCGAUUGAAGAUUAACGCUUAGAAUUUUGUACAGGCGUUAACGAGGCAACUAUGUUGGGUCCUCACAACGUCAACGUUUACGUGAGUAAAGCACAGCAAGGAAGUAAAAGUGUGAAGAUGGGCCGCUCCUCCAAAGACAAACGGGAUAUCUACUACCGUCUUGCCAAGGAGGAGGGCUGGAGGGCCAGGAGCGCCUUCAAACUACUGCAACUGGAUGAGGAGUUUGGCCUGUUCAAAGGUGUAAAAAGGGCAGUCGACCUCUGUGCUGCCCCUGGCAGCUGGAGCCAGGUCCUGAGCCGUAAACUCAGAGGAAAGGAGGAGAAGAGUGAGGAGGUAAAGAUAGUGGCGGUGGACCUACAGGCCAUGGCUCCUCUCCCUGGGGUGACACAGAUCCAGGGGGACAUCACCAAGAUCUCCACUGCCCUGGAGAUAAUCAGGCAUUUUGAAGGACAGCCUGCAGACCUGGUAGUGUGUGAUGGAGCUCCAGACGUGACAGGACUCCAUGAUGUGGAUGAGUACAUCCAAGCUCAGCUCCUAUUGGCUGCCCUAAACAUUACAACACACGUCCUGAAACCUGGAGGAACGUUUGUUGCAAAGAUAUUCCGGGGGAAGGACGUGACCCUCCUGUACUCCCAGCUUAAGAUAUUCUUCAGUAGUGUGACCUGUGCUAAGCCCCGGAGCAGCAGGAACUCCAGCAUAGAGGCAUUUGUGAUGUGUCAGAAUUACUCUCCUCCAGUAGGAUAUGUGCCCAACAUGUCCAAUCCUCUACUGGAUCACUCAUAUGAUGUAGAUUUUAACCAGCUGGAAGGACCAAACAGAAUCAUAGUUCCUUUCUUGGCCUGUGGAGACCUGAGUGCCUUUGACUCGGACCGGACCUACCCUCUCCAGGACUGCCUCGAAGAAAGAAUGCCAUGCAGCGCAGAGACGCAAGAGAUUGAACUUCACUGAGUUCGCCGCAUUAGUUUGCAAUGUAGGCCUGCAUUGAACACCACAUAUAUGCUACUGUAGUCUAUAUCAUAGAAAUCACAAGCUAUUUCCAUGUGAAAAUGUUAUGGGAUUUGCUCCAUUGGUUUUGUUGGUAGGCCUACAUUAUGCUCAAAUAGCCACAAUAGCCUAUUGGCUCCUGUCUAAAACUGUAAGGGUACAGCCUCAGUGUUCAAUGUAAAUGUGCUGGAAGUUGCACAAAAUUCUCACUAUGUUCAAGUUUCUGCUCACAAAACAAACAUUUGCUCAGUGCCUGAAAAAAUUGGGGUAAAACACAUGGUUUGGAGAGACAAACAAGUAAGAGGAUGGUAAAAUCAGAUAUUCUGUAACCAUUUAGUUGGCAAUUACUUUUCUUUCUGCGUUUGCAAUACAUUAACAUUAUUUAGCAGACACUUAUCCAGAGUGGCAUAGAGUAGUGAGUGCAUACGUUAUCAUAUUUUCUUUGUCCAUACUGGUCCCCGUGGGAAUUCAAAUCUUCACCCCUGGUGUUGCAAGCGCCAUGCUUUACCAACUGAGCCACACAGGAAACUUGUAGCUGAGCAUCAACAGGGUAGCCUAGUGGUUAGAGCGUUGGACUAGUAACCGGAAGGUUGCAAGUUCAAACCCCCGAGCUGACAAGGUACAAAUCUGUCGUUCUGCCCCUGAACAGGCAGUUAACCCACUGUUCCCUAGGCCGUCAUUGUAAAUAAGAAUUUGUUCUUAACUGACUUGCCUAGUUAAAUAAAGGUAAAAAAAAAAAAGUCAGCACAUAAGGGACCACACUAGGGUUACUGAUCAUUCACACAGCAGAUGUCUAAUUCCAGAGACGAGAACACAAGUCAAGACCAACUACAACCGAAGGGCUUUGAAUAUAUACACUGCUCAAAAAAAUAAAGGGAACACAACACAAUGUAACUCCAAGUCAAUCACACUUCUGUGAAAUCAAACUGUCCACAACACUGCUUGACAAUACAUUUCACAUGCUGUUGUGCAAAUGGAAUAGACAACAGGUGGAAAUUAUAGGCAUUUAGCAAGACACCCCCAAUAAAGGAGUGGUUCUGCAGGUGGCGACCACAGACCACUUCUCAAUUCCUAUGUUUCCUGGCUGAUGUUUUGGUCACUUUUGAAUGCUGGCGGUGCUUUCACUCUAGUGGUAGCAUGAGACGGAGUCUACAACCCCUCAAGCUUAUAGAGACAUAUCCCAAGAGACUUGUAGGUGUAGUUGCUGCAAAAGGUACAAAUACAAAGUAUUGACUUUGGGGGGGUGAAUAGUUAUGCAAGAUCAAGUUUUCUAUUUUCUUUCUUAUUUCUUGUUUGUUUCACAAUAAAACAUAUUUUGCAUCAUCGAAGUUGUAGACAUGUUGUGCAAAUCAAAUGAUAUAAACCCCCCAAAAAGCUAUUUUAAUUCCAGGUUGUAAGGCAACAAAAUAGGAAAAAUGCCAAGGGGGGUGAAUACUUUCGCAAGGCACUGUACAUGUGAAUUCUUUGGUCAUGGAAGUGUGCUACUACCUUUGUUCAAGAAAGUAAGACUGAAAGCAGACCGGUUACCUGAACAGUAGAUUUUCAUGUAGUUUAAGAUGUUUGCCAAACAUGCCAAACAAUGUAUACCUUAAAGACCUACCCGAGUCUCAUUUUCACCUCAUUUACUUGUGAUACAGCCUGGAUUUGAACCAGGGACUGUAAUGAUGCCUCUUGCACUGACAUGCAGUGGCUUAGACUUAGACCUUAGGCUGCGUCACUCAGGAGCCCUGUUUGUAAAUGAUCAGCGCCUCUAGAUUGUUCUGCCUCCUAAACAUAGGCUGUCAGUUUUUUUCACUUUAUCUAAGUGUGUUCACUCCUUCAUGAACAAGUUGAAAAGAUGUCUCCAUCUUAUUUAAUCUUCAUUUGUAUGGCUGCUGUUGCAGUUAAAGAAAGUUGUGCAGAUUCUGUCCCUACUCCCACCAUUGUGUUAGACCCUGGGUACAUCAAUGUAGCUAUGCCUGUCGUAGUACGCUGCGAGUCAACAAGAGGCACAAAGUGCCACUUCUACAAAGACCACGACACCAACCCAGUAAGAGAAGUGAAUUCCGGUGUUUGCCAAUUCAUAUUGUUCUGGAAUGAGUUCAAAAAGUGGAACAAGACUGAAGUAGAUCUCAGCUGUGCUAUUCUACAGAAGAGAGAAGGGAAAACGAUGUCUUCAGAACGAAGUGACACUCGAAGACUUCAUGUAAGUGAUUCCAUUGGAAUACCCAGGAUUUUUGUGGAAAAUACAGGAACUUACUUAAGUCUUCAGUGUGAGGCCAAGCAUGCUGGUACCUCAUGCUACUAUUACUUGAACAACAAUGAGUCCCCCUUUAAAAGUCAGCCCUACAAAGACAAUGUCUGUGUUGGGAAAGUAUCGGAAAAGGAUCUGCUGAGGAAGAGGAGCAGUGCUGGAGAGAUCUUCAUCACCUGUGCUGUGGAGCUGGUGGUAGAGGGUGGAGAUACUGUGACAUCACAGCAUAGUGAACCGUUCAAGAUUGCCAUAGAUGACUCUCCUGGGCCCACCACUUCCUUGUCAACAUUCAGUACCAACAAAACCAGUGUAACUAAUGGAAAAGAGUCCUCCUCGGAGUUCCCCCUCUACAUCAGUCUGAGUGUUGGGGCCUUUAGCCUUAUUCUGCUGGUUGUAUCUGUCCUGUGUUUUCUCCGGUACAAGCGAGGUGAUCAACAAGACUGGUCUGCCAAUAGAUCCCAAUGGAACCAGAACAAAGAAGUUAUCUAUGCAAAUGCUUAAUUAUUUCAACAAGGCGGUCUGAAUGUGGGGGAUGUGACCAUGCUGCGUUGUACUAGUUCAAGUGUAAGUGUAAGUGGUAACAGUUCACCUGUUGAUGAACUUCCUCCACAUCCUUUCUCUGCUUCCUGAUUUACAUAUCUGCCACUCUCUGCUCUUCAAGUAGUCUGACACCUUCUGUUCCUCUCAGAUGAAUGGUGUAAUAUCUUACUGGGCAAGAAAUAGAUGUGCAUAGGUUUUAAGACAUGAUCUAUUUGAAGUUUCACAUUGUUUGUAUAUAAGGGUAAAUACCCGUGUUCUUUUAUUGCCUUGUCUUUUUUUAAACGCUUUUGUUAUUUUAUUACUCUUUUUUAUCAACUUUGUAUAUUGAUAGUUUUGCUACUCUACAUUUAUUCUGCACUUUUGAGGAAGAGCUGAAAGUAAGCAUUUCACUGUGCCAUUCCAACUUCUGUACUCUGUGCAUGUGACAAAUAAACAUUGAUUUAAUGUGUAGAUUGUGUAGAUUAGUUUUAACAUACUGGCAUACAAUUUUCCUAUUCUGUACAGCUUUUAAUAUGUAACUCUGUUUUGAAUAAAUUAAAUACAUGUAUUGUAUUACAGCAUU